AGAGUUUGAUCAUGGCUCAGAUUGAACGCUGGCGGCAUGCUUAAUACAUGCAAGUCGAACGGUAACAGGUUCUUCGGAAUGCUGACGAGUGGCGGACGGGUGAGUAAUGCAUAGGAAUCUGCCCAUGUAGUGGGGGUAACUUGGGGAAACUCAAGCUAAUACCGCAUAAUUCCUACGGGAGAAAGAGGGCCUAUACUUGUAAGCUCUUGCUAUUGGAUGAGCCUAUGUCGGAUUAGUUAGUUGGUGAGGUAAUGGCUUACCAAGACAACGAUCCGUAGCUGGUUUGAGAGGAUGAUCAGCCACACUGGGACUGAGACACGGCCCAGACUCCUACGGGAGGCAGCAGUAGGGAGUAUUGGACAAUGGGCGCAAGCCUGAUCCAGCAAUGCCGCGUGUGUGAAGAAGGCCUGCGGGUUGUAAAGCACUUUCAAUUGGGAAGAAAGAUUUAGAGUUAAUACCUCUUAAUAUUGACGUUACCAAUAGAAGAAGCACCGGCUAACUCCGUGCCAGCAGCCGCGGUAAUACGGAGGGUGCAAGCGUUGUUCGGAAUUACUGGGCGUAAAGCGCGCGUAGGCGGCUUUGUAAGUAGAGGGUGAAAUCCCAGGGCUCAACCUGGGAAUUGCAUCCAAAACUGGCAAUCUAGAAUACAGUAGAGGGUAGUGGAAUUUCAGGUGUAGCGGUGAAAUGCGUAGAUAUCAGAAGGAACACCGGUGGCGAAGGCGACUUCCUGGACUGGUACUGACGCUGAGGCGCGAAGGCGUGGGGAGCAAACAGGAUUAGAUCCCCUGGUAGUCCACGCCGUAAACGAUGGGUACUAGGUGUCGCGGGUAUUUUCCCGCCGGUGCCGCAGGUAACCCAAUAAGUACGCCGCCUGGGGAGUACGAUCGCAAGGUUGAAACUCAAAGGAAUUGACGGGGGCCCGCACAAGCGGUGGAGCAUGUGGUUUAAUUCGAUGCAACGCGAAGAACCUUACCUGCUUUUGACAUACUAGGAAUCUUACAGAGAUGUAGGAGUGCCUUGGGGAACUUGGAGACAGGUGCUACAUGGCUGUCGUCAGCUCGUGUCGUGAGAUGUUGGGUUAAGUCCCGCAACGAGCGCAACCCUCGUCUUUAGUUACCAUCGGUUCGGCCGGGCACUCUAGAGAGACUGCCGGUGUCAAGCCGGAGGAAGGUGGGGAUGACGUCAAGUCAUCAUGGCCCUUAUGGGCAGGGCUACACACGUGCUACAAUGGCCGGCACAGAGGGCCGCGAGCCUGCGAAGGUAAGCAAAUCCCUUAAAACCGGUCGUAGUCCGGAUCGGAGUCUGCAACUCGACUCCGUGAAGUCGGAAUCGCUAGUAAUCGCGGAUCAGCAUGCCCGCGGUGAAUACGUUCCCGGGCCUUGUACACACCGCCCGUCACACCAUGGGAGUUGGCUGCACCAGAAGUAGGUAGCUUAACCUUUCGGGGAGGGCGCUUACCACGGUGUGGUCAAUGACUGGGGUGAAGUCGUAACAAGGUA
Molecule: ribosomal RNA, 1499 nt
Filed under: uncultured prokaryote
Description: partial 16S ribosomal RNA
Rfam family: Bacterial small subunit ribosomal RNA
Source: RNAcentral